This 327-nucleotide ribosomal RNA is filed under the name uncultured eukaryote. RNAcentral's name for it is "bacterial SSU rRNA". It matches the Rfam family "Eukaryotic small subunit ribosomal RNA", at positions 592 to 917 of the family's 1831-position model. The record is from RNAcentral.
CAAUAGCGUAUAUUAAAGCUGUUGUGCGGGUUAAAAGCUACGUAGUUGGACUUCUGCUGAGGACGACUGGUCUGCCCUCUGGGUGAGUAUCUGGUUCGGCCGAAGCAUCUUCUUGGAGGUUGCAAGCGCACUUCAUUGUGUGGUGCAACCGACUGGAAUUUUACUUUGAGGAAAUUAGAGUGUUCAAGGGAGGCGUACGCCUCGCAUAGGUUAGCAUGGAAUAAUGCUGUAAGACCAUGGGUAUUGCUGUGUUGGUUUCUAUCACCUAAGGUAAUGAUAAAACAGGGAUAGUUGGGGGCAUUCGUAUUUAACUGUCAGAGGUGAAAU